Molecule: non-coding RNA, 865 nt
Organism: Cinara cedri
Lineage: Eukaryota; Metazoa; Arthropoda; Insecta; Hemiptera; Aphididae
Source: the annotation of a GenBank genome assembly
AAGAGAUCAUUUUUUGUUAUUAUUUUAAUCUUUUUCAAAUAAUCUUUGCUGUCAUGGAAACGCACAUUGUUGUAAUAAUUUUACCAUAGUAUGACAUAAUACCAUAUAUUGUAUUGUUAACAAAGCAACGCUAUCAACUGAACUUCGCUCAGAAUCAUUUUUUCGUUAGCAAUUGUUUAUCGUUAAUUACAGAUGUACAUUAAAUUACCAUCUACCUUUCCAACUUCCCACUUAAAACAGUGUCUGCACUCACGUGCGAAGUAUGUCCGUCCUUUUUAGUUAUAGUAAAAUAAUUUUAAUAUGUGACUCCCUUAAAAUAGAAGAAAAAACACAUUGAACUAUACAAAAUACGUAAUUGCAUUCUUUUUUUUUGGUCUAAUCGUACUCAUCAAAUCGCUCUGUAUAACAAUAUGAUAUUAACAUUUUUUUUUCAACCAAGCGGGUUUUCGUCCAAAAAAAUAUUACAAUUAGCAUUUAAUAAAUAAUACAUACCAUGCAAAUUAUUAUUAUAAUAUCUGUUAUGUGCGUGUCGUAUAUUAUAAUGGCAUACAAAAGUUAACGUUACGAUGGCCACAGUAUAAUAAUUAACGAACUAACGUGCCGUCCCCGUCGGAGUUCAUCAACACGAAAUUUUGCGCAAAACAAAAAAGUUUUUUUUUUUAUAUACAUGAUAUCUGACGCGUUCGGUACACCGUAUAAAACGAAUGUAUUAAAAACCGUCCAUGAAAAAAAACGUAAGGAUCAAUAAAAUUACAGAAUACGGAUGGGAAAACUUCGAACGCGGUCCGAACGAAUACGUAAAAUAAUAUUAUUAUGAAAAUACAAUCGGAUCGAAUAUAAAACGUCACUUAUUGUUAUAAGUAUU